ACGGGUGAGUAACGCGUAGGUAACCUGCCUUGUAGCGGGGGAUAACUAUUGGAAACGAUAGCUAAUACCGCAUAACAAUGGGUGACACAUGUCAUUUAUUUGAAAGGGGCAAUUGCUCCACUACAAGAUGGACCUGCGUUGUAUUAGCUAGUAGGUGAGGUAACGGCUCACCUAGGCGACGAUACAUAGCCGACCUGAGAGGGUGAUCGGCCACACUGGGACUGAGACACGGCCCAGACUCCUACGGGAGGCAGCAGUAGGGAAUCUUCGGCAAUGGGGGCAACCCUGACCGAGCAACGCCGCGUGAGUGAUGACGGCCUUCGGGUUGUAAAGCUCUGUUGUAAGGGAAGAACGGUAGAUAGAGAAUACCUAAGUGACGGUACCUUACCAGAAAGCCACGGCUAACUACGUGCCAGCAGCCGCGGUAAUACGUAGGUGGCGAGCGUUAUCCGGAAUUAUUGGGCGUAAAGGGUGCGUAGGCGGCCUGUUAAGUAAGUGGUUAAAUUGUUGGGCUCAACCCAAUCCAGCCACUUAAACUGGCAGGCUAGAGUAUUGGAGAGGCAAGUGGAAUUCCAUGUGUAGCGAUAAAAUGCGUAGAUAUAUGGAGGAACACCAGUGGCGAAGGCGGCUUGCUAGCCAAAGACUGACGCUCAUGCACGAAAGCGUGGGGAGCAAAUAGGAUUAGAUACCCUAGUAGUCCACGCCGUAAAC
Molecule: ribosomal RNA, 711 nt
Filed under: uncultured bacterium
Lineage: Bacteria
Description: bacterial SSU rRNA
Rfam family: Bacterial small subunit ribosomal RNA
Source: RNAcentral